This 2553-nucleotide long non-coding RNA is filed under the name Ananas comosus (pineapple). RNAcentral describes it as "long non-coding RNA (ACOM_LNC007265)". Lineage: Eukaryota; Viridiplantae; Streptophyta; Magnoliopsida; Poales; Bromeliaceae. The record is from RNAcentral.
AUAUAACAAAAAAAUAGAGGAUCUAUCAUAAGUAAUUCCUUUUAUAAAACUCUCAUAAUUAAUUACUUCAAUAUAACAAAAAUAUCUCAUCCCUUUUAUUUCUUUACUGACAAUUCAAUAAAAGUUGAAUAUAGUUACAUACUAAUUAACUUAUACUGUUUGCAAUUCUAGGAAAAAAUAUAGAAAAUCCACAAAAGACCCACAUCCAAGGCCAUGUGAUGAUCUGAGAGAGAAAGAGAUAGAUAGAGAGAAAGACCUAUUUUUACGAGAAACGAUGUCAAAUGGCAAGCGCGUAACGAGGACCACUGGCAAUAAGCAUCAAUUUCUAGCAGCAAGCCGAUAACGUGAACCACCGACAAUAAGCAACAAAAUAUUUGAAGUACCAUACGAGAAGAAAAAUAAGAAAGCAAUGAAAAUCGGGGGGGAGAAGUCACUCAAAAAAAUUAGAAGGGAAGCUAUGCGUGCUGGAAAUAAUUUCAGAAACCGCUUGUAAUUUCAGAACCCGCUCGUGAAGUUGAGGGCGUUAAUUGAGGACGAAGGAGCAAGCUAAUUAAUUAAAGAGUUUGUCUAGGAUUUUUUAAUUAGGAAUAUGAUAUUCUCGUCUUCUUUAGUUUUAGUCAUUUUUUAUUUAUAUAUACUCUAUUAAAGUAGGGCUACUAUACUCUUAUGAGUAGAAAGCCCUUUGUACUCAUAAGUUAUUUUCGAUGAUGGAGCUUCUGAAUCGACGAUCCAUUCCGUUAAAUAUGAUCUAAAGUAUUUGAAACUUCUAAAAAAUAAAUUUCGUAAUUUUUCGAAAUCAUAAUAAAAUCUAUUAAGCGAGUAUAAAAUAAACGGUCAGAAUUGAAUGACGUCCUAAAAAUAAAUGAUCGAAUCAUUUAAUUUAAGAUCAGAAUUACUGACCUAUAUCUAGAUAGUAGAUAGAAUUUUCUAUAAAAAAUUCAACUAAUUUCGAUUCUUUUACACCUUUAAACUAUCAAGUAUUCCAAACCGCUCGUUAAAAGUUGUUAAUUUUGAGAUUUUUUUUAAUCAUAAGGUAAAUAAUGUCAAAAAAUUAUAAAAUUUGAUUUCUAGAUAUUUUAAAUGCCCUAGAUAAUAUUUAACGGUAUGCAUUGUAAAUUCGAAAGCUCUAUCAUCGAAAAUGACUUAUGAGUACGAAGGCUAUCGUACUCAUAAGAAUGUAGUAGUCAGACUCCACUCUAUUAUUGUAUAAUAUAUAAUAUCAAGAGUAUAAAUAACAUAUCUGAAAAUGUAUUGUUAAAUUAACACUAAUAUAUCUAUCUGUCAAAACAAUAAGGAUUAAUAUACUAGCCAAUUUAUUACAACAAAAUUAAUUAACGAUAGCAAAUAUGAAAUUACAAAAAUACGGCAGUGUUAUAAUAUUUUCUAAUUACACCUGAAAUUGCUGCUAAGAAAUAAAUAGCAGCGGUAAUUAUAAAGGUUGCUAUAUCUUUAGUUUAGCGACAUGUUUUAAGCCUAUCAUAAAAGAAAUUACCGCUAUAUGGCUUAUUUUUUAUAGUGUUUCUCAAAUUCUUCAGUACCCUCACCUUUACUGCCCUGCUUACGAGAACGAGGAAGGCCGAAAAAAGUGCAGCGGACGGUGGAGAUAUGGGCGAGGUAAGGUGGAGAAGUGUGAUGACCACGUAGGGGCUAGGGGCGACGAGGAGAAUGCAAGAGAGGAAGUGAGAGAAGAAAGAAAGGAAAGAAAAAUAAGGGAGAGAAUUAGGUGUUUUUAUAAAUUUUUUAAAAAUUUUGUCCAAAUAUACAAAUUAAAAAAUAGACUGAUUUUAUAAAAAUACCAAAAAAAAAGGGUUAAAAUAAGUGGAUAUUUUUUUUUAGUUAAAUUAAAAAUAAAAAAAUGCGCAUGAAAAAUAGCUUAAAAAAAAGGCCAAUUUGCAUAAAAAAAUCACUUAUUUUGGGCUUUUGCAAAAUUGGGCCACAUUUUUCAUUUUUGCAGAUUCGGUCCGCUUUUUCAGCAAACUGACCAAAAUACCCUUAUUACUUUUUCUCUUUCCUCUUUCUCUCUCUUCUUCGUUUCUCUCGUUCUUUUUUUUUUUCUCGCCGGUAGAGCGGAGGUGGAGCGGAGGUAGAAACGGUCCGUCUCGCCUCUCACCGUCAUGCUCUCGCCCUCGCCCUUGCCCUCGUCCAUGCACCUCCCACCUUCCUCGCCUCCGACCCCGUUAAGGCCGCGCCGCGACUUUUUUUUUUUGCUUUUUUCUUUUCUUUUCUUCUCCGACUCUUCUCCACCGUCUCCGACGACGACGCCUCUCGCCCUUCCCCGCCCUUCUCAUCUCUCCCUCUCCCUCAUUUUCUGCCGCCUCCGAUGACGAUUUAUCUUCGCCGGCGCCGAUGUCGAAACCGUAGAGGUCACUGCGGCGCUAUAGCCUCGGAGCGGGGGGUCCUUAGCGGCGUCGUCACCGGCGCCGUCACCGGCGCCGUAGCUAUUGGCAGAGAAGGUGACAAAAAAAUUAUAGAAAAAACAGAAAAAAAAAAUAAAGAUAAAAAAUUAUAUAAAAAGAAGGAUGAAGAUGAAAUUACAUCGUUAAUUACAAAAAA